AGGCGACGACGGGUAGCCGGCCUGAGAGGGCGACCGGCCACACUGGGACUGAGACACGGCCCAGACUCCUACGGGAGGCAGCAGUGGGGAAUAUUGCACAAUGGGCGCAAGCCUGAUGCAGCGACGCCGCGUGAGGGAUGACGGCCUUCGGGUUGUAAACCUCUUUCAGCAGGGAAGAAGCGAGAGUGACGGUACCUGCAGAAGAAGCGCCGGCUAACUACGUGCCAGCAGCCGCGGUAAUACGUAGGGCGCAAGCGUUGUCCGGAAUUAUUGGGCGUAAAGAGCUCGUAGGCGGCUUGUCGCGUCGGUUGUGAAAGCCCGGGGCUUAACCCCGGGUCUGCAGUCGAUACGGGCAGGCUAGAGUUCGGUAGGGGAGAUCGGAAUUCCUGGUGUAGCGGUGAAAUGCGCAGAUAUCAGGAGGAACACCGGUGGCGAAGGCGGAUCUCUGGGCCGAUACUGACGCUGAGGAGCGAAAGCGUGGGGAGCGAACAGGAUUAGAUACCCUGGUAUUCCAUGCCGUUAUACGGUGGGGCA
RNAcentral lists this ribosomal RNA (534 nucleotides) under uncultured bacterium. RNAcentral's name for it is "bacterial SSU rRNA". It matches the Rfam family "Bacterial small subunit ribosomal RNA", at positions 271 to 816 of the family's 1533-position model. The record is from RNAcentral.